RNAcentral lists this ribosomal RNA (440 nucleotides) under uncultured bacterium. RNAcentral describes it as "partial 16S ribosomal RNA". It matches the Rfam family "Bacterial small subunit ribosomal RNA", at positions 338 to 795 of the family's 1533-position model. The record is from RNAcentral.
CCUACGGGAGGCAGCAGUGGGGAAUAUUGGACAAUGGGGGAAACCCUGAUCCAGCGAAGCCGCGUGAGUGAAGAAGUAUUUCGGUACGUAAAGCUCUAUCAGCAGGAAAGAAAAUGACGGUACCUGACUAAGAAGCCCCGGCUAACGACGUGCCAGCAGCCGCGGGAAGACGUAGGGGGCAAGCGUUAUCCGGAUUUACUGGGUGUAAAGGGGGCGUAGACGGCCGGGAAAGUCUGGAGUGAAAUGCCGGGGCCCAACCCCGGAACUGCUCUGGAAACUGUGAAGCUGGAGUGCAGGAGAGGUAAGCGGAAUUCCUGGUGUAGCGGUGAAAUGCGUAGAUAUCAGGAGGAACACCGGCGGCGAAGGCGGCUUACUGGACUGUAACUGACGUUGAGGCUCGAAGGCGUGGGGAGCAAACAGGAUUAGAUACCCUGGUAGUC